CACGCUCCUACGAACAUGGGGCCAAGUCAAAAAUAAAUAUUAAAAUAAUAUUCAACGUGCAAAUAAAAAAAAAAAGUUAAUACGACUGGGAGGAGGACCGCUCCCCCGCCCUUCACCACUUCGGAGGAGCUGGCUCUCGCCAAUAACGAAGGUCGGCCGAUGAUGGUAGGAGUGGAAGAGGGGGUGUCCUCUGACCCCACUGCCGUGACUUCCAAGGCGUUUGUAAUGAGUAUGUAUUCAUUUAUUGGCAAUGGACAUCAAUAAUGGUCUUGCUAAUCAAAUGUGAAAUGAUUAAGUGUAAAUUAAUUGUUAUUUUUAGUUAAAGGUACAGACAUUAGUUUGGAGGGGCCGCCGACAAUCAAUCUCCAAUCCGAGGAGACUGUCGGCCUGUGACUCCAGGGCGACUAUGGAGGGGAUUUUUCUGAACAAUUCUCACAGCUAUAAUAUGAAUUUGUAGAAUAAAAAAUGCCUAUGCCUAAUUGUGUCACUGACAUAGCGGUUAUGUGUGUGUGGCUGAUGGUGGCUGCUGCUGAAGGUGGAUGCUGAUGGUGGCUGCUGCUGAAGGUGGCUGCUGAUGGUGGAUGCUGAAGGUGGAUGCUGCUGAAGGUGGAUGCUGAUGGUGGCUGCUGCUGAUGGUGGAUGCUGCUGAAGGUGG
Long non-coding RNA from Gadus morhua (Atlantic cod), 655 nucleotides. RefSeq lists it as uncharacterized. NCBI's taxonomy places the organism in Eukaryota, Metazoa, Chordata, Actinopteri, Gadiformes, Gadidae. The transcript is spliced from 3 exons. The record is from RefSeq and is a predicted model, not a curated record.